Molecule: non-coding RNA, 702 nt
Organism: Pelobates cultripes (western spadefoot toad)
Lineage: Eukaryota; Metazoa; Chordata; Amphibia; Anura; Pelobatidae
Source: the annotation of a GenBank genome assembly
AUUACUUUAAAGAACUAAAGAGCCCAUUCAUAACCCAUAAUAUAAAUAGAAUUUUCCUUGAGAAUUCAUCACCCCAGUUUUUUCUAAAAAGGUAUGGCAAUUGUAUUCUCAAAAUACCCCUCCCCCCAACCUACUAUUGUAAGGAAUGUUUAUGAGAUAUACUAAAAUGAUUUACUUACUCAUUCACAUGCAUUUAUUUUGUGAACAUGAACAUUUUACAUUAAUGUCAUUGUUCAAUAGAAAAACAAUUGAAUCAUGUUUCAUGCGGUGCUUUUUUAAAAAUAGUUUGAAUCAAAAUGCUGCCACUAAGGCUAGGAUUUAAAAAAAUAAAUAAAUAAAAUAAAAUGACUGUUAAAUGGCGGUUAAUGUCUUGCUUUUUAAAGUUUUUAUUUUUCCCCAUGAUAUUCUUUAGCGCUGCACAAAAGAUAGAAACAACAUAAAUGGCAGUACAAUAAUUGUUUGUUCACUGGAAUAAAAAGCACUAAAUCAGGCACAGAUCCUGAUCUAAUGACCCAAGAUAUGUAUUUUUUAUAUAACUUACUUGCGUUGAUCAAAUUUUCUUUAAGUAUACUUGCAAUGCUUUAAUUACAAUCUACUCCAAAUAAAAAUGGUAUAUUUUACGGAAUGUGAACAGGGUGAACUAAAGCUGCAGAUGGCUUUGACAUUCCCCACUUUCUCUCAUCAGAGAUCUUCUACUUAUAU